GCCAGUAUGGUAUAGUGGUUUGAAUGUUGGGCUCUGACUCUGGAGAUCAGGGUUCAAUUCCCUGGUUGGUCA
This 72-nucleotide transfer RNA is filed under the name Phrynosoma platyrhinos (Desert horned lizard). RNAcentral's name for it is "tRNA-OTHER". The record is from RNAcentral. Lineage: Eukaryota; Metazoa; Chordata; Lepidosauria; Squamata; Phrynosomatidae.